UACGAAGGUGGCAAGCGUUGUUCGGAUUCACUGGGCGUACAGGGAGCGUAGGCGGUUGGGUAAGCCCUCCGUGAAAUCUCCAGGCUUAACCUGGAAAGUGCAGAGGGGACUGCUCAGCUAGAGGAUGGGAGAGGAGAGCGGAAUUCCCAGUGUAGAGGUGAAAUUCGUAGAUAUUGGGAAGAACACCGGUGGCGAAGGCGGCUCUCUGGCCUUUAACUGACGCUGAGGCACGAAAGCGUGGGGAGCAAACAGG
RNAcentral lists this ribosomal RNA (253 nucleotides) under uncultured bacterium. RNAcentral describes it as "partial 16S ribosomal RNA". It matches the Rfam family "Bacterial small subunit ribosomal RNA", at positions 524 to 776 of the family's 1533-position model. The record is from RNAcentral.